Molecule: long non-coding RNA, 454 nt
Filed under: Bos taurus (domestic cattle)
Lineage: Eukaryota; Metazoa; Chordata; Mammalia; Artiodactyla; Bovidae
Description: long non-coding RNA NONBTAT016821
Source: RNAcentral
CGUUAUAAGCUUUUCUUUUUUGUUUCUUUUUUAGAAUUGUAGCUUAUCAGUUUAUCUAUGCCUGCUAUAGUCAUAAUUACAAUUUAAUAUCUGCAUACAAAAGCUAUGUAAAAAUCCAUUUUUCCCAAAUAUACAAAUUUUCUUUUUGGAUAGUUUAAAACAUUUUGAUCACAGAUUUCAAUAGAAUUUUAGGCUGAAAAAAAUAUUACCAAUCUAGCAAUAUCACUUAACACCAUUUGCAAAACACAAAUCUUCCGAUGACUGUAAAUCUUUCCCUGUUCUAUUGUCCUUUUCUGAUUCUCAGGGCAUGAAAACAUCAUGGGGGAAUAAAGGUGUUUUCUCCAAAGAAAGCUUUCAUAACUAAUUUGGCUCUAAAAUCAAAUGAAAAAUGCCAAAUAGGAAGAACCAAAAGAGGGGAGUGGCAUAAUGUCUGCUCGUUCAUGCCCUGCUAGCG